RNAcentral lists this ribosomal RNA (481 nucleotides) under uncultured bacterium. RNAcentral describes it as "bacterial SSU rRNA". It matches the Rfam family "Bacterial small subunit ribosomal RNA", at positions 335 to 807 of the family's 1533-position model. The record is from RNAcentral.
ACUCCUACGGGAGGCAGCAGUGGGGAAUAUUGCACAAUGGGGGAAACCCUGAUGCAGCCAUGCCGCGUGUGUGAAGAAGGCCUUCGGGUUGUAAAGCACUUUCAGUAGGGAGGAAGGUAGUGUAGUUAACACCUGCACUAUUUGACGUUACCUACAGAAGAAGCACCGGCUAACUCCGUGCCAGCAGCCGCGGUAAUACGGAGGGUGCGAGCGUUAAUCGGAAUUACUGGGCGUAAAGCGCAUGCAGGCGGCCUGUUAAGUCAGAUGUGAAAGCCCGGGGCUUAACCUCGGAAUUGCAUUUGAAACUGGCAGGCUAGAGUCUUGUAGAGGGGGGUAGAAUUUCAGGUGUAGCGGUGAAAUGCGUAGAGAUCUGAAGGAAUACCAGUGGCGAAGGCGGCCCCCUGGACAAAGACUGACGCUCAGAUGCGAAAGCGUGGGGAGCAAACAGGAUUAGAUACCCUGGUAGGAUAGCGUAGUCGUA